RNAcentral lists this non-coding RNA (44 nucleotides) under Trypanosoma brucei brucei. The record is from RNAcentral. Lineage: Eukaryota; Euglenozoa; Kinetoplastea; Trypanosomatida; Trypanosomatidae.
ACAAAAUCAUCAGGGAUACUUAGUAAGAUUGUGAAAGUUAAGUU